RNAcentral lists this ribosomal RNA (497 nucleotides) under uncultured bacterium. RNAcentral's name for it is "partial 16S ribosomal RNA". It matches the Rfam family "Bacterial small subunit ribosomal RNA", at positions 28 to 507 of the family's 1533-position model. The record is from RNAcentral.
GACGAACGCUGGCGGCGUGCCUAAUACAUGCAAGUAGAACGCUGAAGAGAGGAGCUUGCUCUUCUUGGAUGAGUUGCGAACGGGUGAGUAACGCGUAGGUAACCUGCCUUGUAGCGGGGGAUAACUAUUGGAAACGAUAGCUAAUACCGCAUAACAAUGGAUGACACAUGUCAUUUAUUUGAAAGGGGCAAUUGCUCCACUACAAGAUGGACCUGCGUUGUAUUAGCUAGUAGGUGAGGUAAUGGCUCACCUAGGCGACGAUACAUAGCCGACCUGAGAGGGUGAUCGGCCACACUGGGACUGAGACACGGCCCAGACUCCUACGGGAGGCAGCAGUAGGGAAUCUUCGGCAAUGGGGGCAACCCUGACCGAGCAACGCCGCGUGAGUGAAGAAGGGUGUCGGAUCGUAAAGCUCUGUUGUAAGUCAAGAACGGGUGUGAGAGUGGAAAGUUCACACUGUGACGGUAGCUUACCAGAAAGGGACGGCUAACUACGUG